UACGGAGGGUGCAAACGUUGCUCGGAAUCAUUGGGCGUAAAGCGCACGUAGGCGGUUCGUUAAGUCGGAUGUGAAAGCCCUCGGCUCAACCGAGGAAGGGCAUCCGAAACUGGCGUGCUUGAGUAUGGAAGAGGGUCUCGGAAUUCCCGGUGUAGAGGUGAAAUUCGUAAAUAUCGGGAGGAACACCAGUGGCGAAGGCGGAGACCUGGGCCAAUACUGACGCUGAGGUGCGAAAGCGUGGGGAGCAAACAGG
RNAcentral lists this ribosomal RNA (253 nucleotides) under uncultured bacterium. RNAcentral describes it as "partial 16S ribosomal RNA". It matches the Rfam family "Bacterial small subunit ribosomal RNA", at positions 524 to 776 of the family's 1533-position model. The record is from RNAcentral.